GAAAUUGAAUGAGGAAUAUUUCCAUGGAUGAGAUUCUUUGCUAAGCUUAGAACCUGAAGAUUUUGGAGCUUGCAAAGGGAAUCUGCAUCAAUUAUCCCACUAAGAUUCAAAUUUUCAAGCCUGAUUUCUGUUACAGUAUUUCCCUGCAAAUUGCAGAUGACACCCUUCCACUUAUUUGAGCAGGGAUGUGGCACUGUUCCAUCCCAGCUUACUUGUAGCACAUUUUGGGGAUCAGCAGCUCUGAUGAAUUUUAGGAAAGAUUCAGUUUCAGAUAAAUCGCCCCCAAGACAUCCUGUGAUCAGGAGAAACACAGUA
This 315-nucleotide unclassified non-coding RNA is filed under the name Hevea brasiliensis (rubber tree). Lineage: Eukaryota; Viridiplantae; Streptophyta; Magnoliopsida; Malpighiales; Euphorbiaceae. The record is from RNAcentral.